Molecule: long non-coding RNA, 152 nt
Organism: Bufo bufo (common toad)
Lineage: Eukaryota; Metazoa; Chordata; Amphibia; Anura; Bufonidae
Exons: 3
Source: RefSeq, a predicted model, not a curated record
GCAGCCUUGUGUACCUGAUGAAGGGGAGUGAUUCCCCGAAACGCGUUGUAUUGCUGCAAUAAAUUACUUUGUUUCCUGAUCCUGGUGAACUGUGGUUGGUCUUUGCGCCGUGGGACGUUUAUCUCUGCCAGUACAUAAAGAGAAGGGAAAUG